RNAcentral lists this transfer RNA (117 nucleotides) under Oscillospiraceae bacterium. RNAcentral's name for it is "tRNA-OTHER". It matches the Rfam family "tRNA". Rfam says of the family: Transfer RNA (tRNA) molecules are approximately 80 nucleotides in length. Their secondary structure includes four short double-helical elements and three loops (D, anti-codon, and T loops). The record is from RNAcentral. Lineage: Bacteria; Bacillati; Bacillota; Clostridia; Eubacteriales; Oscillospiraceae. RNAcentral also lists the same sequence under 1 other name.
GCGGGGAUAGCUCAGUGGAUAGAGCGGCGGUAUAAGAAAUGUGGAACGGGUAUUUCACUAACAGCAAAAUUCUUGGGGAACCGUAAGUCGUAGGUUCGAUUCCUACUCCCUGCACCA